GACGAACGUUGGCGGCGUGCCUUACACAUGCAAGUCGUACGCGAAAGGGGAAACCAGCUUGCUGGGGACCCCGAGUAGAGUGGCGAACGGGAGCGUAACACGUGAGGAACCUGCCUCGGAGUGGGGAAUAACCCAGAGAAAUCUGGGCUAAUUCCGCAUGAUGCAGCGGCCCCGCAUGGGGACAGUUGUUAAAGACCGCCUCUGCUUGCAAGCGGUCGCUUCGAGAUGGUCUCGCGGCCUAUCAGCUAGUUGGCGGGGUAAUGGCCCACCAAGGCGACGACGGGUAGCCGGCCUGAGAGGGUGUCCGGCCUCAUUGGGACUGAGACACGGCCCAGACUCCUACGGGAGGCAGCAGUGAGGAAUCUUGCGCAAUGGGCGAAAGCCUGACGCAGCGACGCCGCGUGAGGGAUGAAGGCCUUCGGUUGUAAACCUCUGUCAGGGGGAAGAAUCCGGAGCCGGUGGAUACCCGGCUCCAUUGACGGUACCCCCGA
RNAcentral lists this ribosomal RNA (491 nucleotides) under uncultured bacterium. RNAcentral's name for it is "bacterial SSU rRNA". It matches the Rfam family "Bacterial small subunit ribosomal RNA", at positions 28 to 484 of the family's 1533-position model. The record is from RNAcentral.